UGCCAUUGUCCCCAUUGACCCCAAUGACCCCAUUGACCCCAAUGUCCCCAUUGUCUGACAUUGAUCCCAGUGAUCCCAUUGACCCCAAUGUUCCCCAUU
RNAcentral lists this long non-coding RNA (99 nucleotides) under Phasianus colchicus (ring-necked pheasant). Its description in RNAcentral is "lncRNA (ENSPCLG00000017578.1)". The record is from RNAcentral. Lineage: Eukaryota; Metazoa; Chordata; Aves; Galliformes; Phasianidae.